GAGGGUACAGCCCAGUGGUAGGGCGCGUGCUUAGAGUGCAUGAGGUCCUGGGGUCAAUCCCCAGUACCUCCA
This 72-nucleotide transfer RNA is filed under the name Camelus bactrianus (Bactrian camel). It matches the Rfam family "tRNA". From Rfam's summary of the family: Transfer RNA (tRNA) molecules are approximately 80 nucleotides in length. Lineage: Eukaryota; Metazoa; Chordata; Mammalia; Artiodactyla; Camelidae. RNAcentral also lists the same sequence under 1 other name. The record is from Rfam by way of RNAcentral.